CAAGGUGCCCAUAAAACAUGUCCCUGAAGCACCGACAUAGAGAACACUUCUCCUCUUGAUUGCUCUGAAGAAAGUUACCAAAUCACACCUGUGGAAAUUCUGCUGAUCAACAUGCGGGCAUCCAACCCUACCUGCUUCCAUUACUUAGGUAGCCCAGAGAGCCAUAUGGGAAGAGGCUUGUACAAUGCAGUGUGCUUCUUUAUUCUUUAGCUUCAAAUGGGAACCAAAGGAACAACUCAUCCAGGAUGAAGACAUGCACAGAUGCUUCUCAUUAGCCUCAGCCACAGGUGCCAGCUGGUCCCCUACCCAGGUGAUGUUGGGCCCCAUGCCUGUCACUGGGAAGGAGCCCAGCAGAGGGGUAGGGGUCGUGCACCCUUAGUACCAUGCAUCCAGGGCAAGCUCACGUUUCUCUGCCAGGUUCUGCCAAAAGGAAGCUCCCAAAAUCCAUCUGGCUGCUUUUUAUCUCAGGAGAAAACGUGAGGAACACUAAAAAUCUCCACGAAGCAGUUCAAAUAAAUAUUAGUAACUUCCUCAAUCCUUGUUAAACAAAAACACAUGAAAGUUAAGUUUCCUACCCUAACAAAAGAUGUGUUUGCAUUCUCUCUGUCUAGUGUGUUUUUAAAGGUUUUACUCUCAAAGUAUUAACUCCCAAGACUCAUUCUAGUGCUGUGAGAGAAAGGCAAGAAGUCAACAACAGCUGUUUUGCCACAGGCUAGAUGCAGGUAUCCCUCUUGCACAGCAUAUUAUUCCCCUCGCGCAGUGUAUCUCCCUUGCAUACCAUAUUGCACAGCAUAUUCCCCUUGCACAGCAUAUUCCCCAUGCACAGCACAUCACCCAGCUCAAUGCAGCACAGAGCAGCUACCCAGGGCCUCCAGGAGGUGGCUGUACAGCCUAAUGGUUAUUGCUGUACAAGGCAGCCCCUGCUCGUAGAUAAGUGCUAACUACCUAGAACUGACUAAAGAAGACACAUUCCCUCUCAUUUGUUUUCUUUUCUUUGCCCUGUCCUAAAAGCUGCUCUCGCAGAUGCUAGCCUAGAGAUUGCUAGAGUCAGUGUGUCCCGCUGCCUGAUGUCCCACAUCCCAUGUCCCACCACUGCCUGAAGUGCCACCACCCGAUGUCCCAUGUCAGGCACAACAAACUCGCACUGCAGCCUCCUGCUUACAGUGAAUAUCACUCCAAAAAGACAGAAGCAGGCAUUCACAUGCAGCUUCCCCUCCUAAGGAUGUCCCUCUUCUUCCACAUUGUCCUGCCCCAGGUGUCAGAGGGGUCUGCAUGGGCUCUUUUUUUCCCUUGUCAGUCAGAUAAUUGUACACAAGCUGCAUGGCUCAUUCUCUGCUUCUGCUGCAUUUGCAGACUUGGGGCAUUGCACUUCUCUUGCAUUAAUCUUGUUUUUCACUAAUUUACAUGGACACAAAACCAAAUCAGACCAUUUGGAACCCUGCCACCAAGUUUCGAGCAAAAAUAAUGCCAACGGUGCUUAGUUAAUGUUCUUUGCAGAGGAGGACACAGGUGGUGCAGGAGGACUCACGGUCCUGCAGCUCCUCGCUGAUGUCAAUGCUGCAGUGAACAUCUGCUUAGAGCAACACUUGUUCUUCUGAGGUCAGCAGUGCAUCCACACAAAGUCAUGAACAGAAACCAGAGUGACUUUCCUCAGUGGUUUUCCUCCAGUGCUCAUGCUGUCCCAUCCAGGACACUCUGAUCGAUCUUUUCACCUCCGGUUGCACAGUAAGGACACAUGGACCAACAGGCACACAAGGAGGGUCUUCUCAGUGCAGCACGGUGCUGCGCUGCAUCUCAUCCCCCUGGAAAGUCCUGGUCUGACACAGCAUCUUCCCUGUACCCGUUCUCUGAACAGGGUACAAAUUCUGUAGCCAACUGUCCAGCCUGGCUGUGUUGGUAUUCAAAAAUACCGAAAUAUCAGAGAUGAUGAAGCAACCGAUCAGAAACUGCCUGGCCAGCCUCCGUGGGGAGAGAGAUGGAGGGGCACCCAGAAAAACUCCUUUGAUGAGGAUGAGUGAUGCGUUUUAUUUGGCAUCUCAGAACUACGGCCCAGCAAAACAAGGCCCGAGCCUCAGAUUUCUGACUCUGGCAUUUUGACGUUUUUAUUAUUAAAAAACCAACUGCAAGAAUUACUAAAAAUAGUAAAGCUCUGUGUGUACAAAAAAACCCACCUGCACUGAGAGUUUACAUACCCAAUUCCUUUCCACUGAAAGGAAACAUACUGAACAUCAGAACAAAAUGAUCGUGCAGGUAAAUGCAACCUGAUUUCAACAGAUGUCCUUAUUGCUUAAGGCUUCUUUCCCACCCUUCCCACCUAAAACUUCAUAGGAAUUACCCUAUCUGAGAAGGCACCGGCCUGCCCUGCGAAAUGCAGGGGAGAAAUGUUACCAAAAGAAAAAAAAAGGGCCAAGCCCAGACGCGCUUUUCACAUGCCCUGGGAUCAGCAGUGUGUGACUGCAGUUUAUAUAGGAAGAGCAGCAUCGGAUCCAGGUCUGGAAGCACUUUCCGAGUUCAGGGGUCUGAGGAGGCAGCGGGAAGGCCUUGUGUGUCCGCCCUCCGUGUGUGCUACCGAGCAGGAGGAAAAGCUCCCAAACUGCCGCCCAUGAGGGGGAAGGGGAGGGGAAGAAAGGAACACACGCAAUUUACUUUUAAAUGGAUGAAUAAGGCCUCAUUGUUAUGAAUCCCAGUUUACUUUUCCUGGUCAGGCACUUGAAAUUUUAUUUAUGCUUAAUAGACUGCGUUUGGCAUGUGUAAAGAUGACAGAGGCGUGAAUUAUGAACGACCUUCCACCUCUGCAGGAAGUUGUAAUAAUUGAAAUAAUAGCGAAAAUGCGCUCCCCGUGAGCGGGGCCUAGGGCCGCGCGCUUUGAAGCGCCCCGCGGGGCACAGGCCGCGCCGGCAGGGCCCGGCCUUCCCCACGGCCACAGACACCGUGAGGGGAAAAAGCGGCAUUUCGUGCGUGUGUGUCACGGGGAAGUGGGAGGAUGAGCGGAGAACUGGCUCUGAAAGCGACGGAGGAAAGCUGAGGAGAAAGGUCCAAAUGGCGAAAAGUCAACUCUCGGUCUGCGGUGAAGAACUGUUGAGGCUGGAGGGCUGUAUUGGGAAAACUGAGCCCUGUUUCAGGAUGUUCUCCUGAAAUGGCACCUGGAGUGCCCACUUCUGCCUGACUCUGGGCAGUCCCUGCACAGGACACUCUCUGCUCUGCAUCCCUUCCAAGUGAUGCUCACGCCUUCCUCCAUGGCUGGUUUCUGGUGUAUGUCAGCCCAGAGUCCAGGUUAAGGACUGCCACAUCCAGACGAGCUCCUGAGGAUGCCGGCACGGUCCCACUUGCCCCACUGAUGGCCACCUGCACCCGGGCCCACGUGGAUCUGCAGGCAGAGCACAGCCCUCCAACAUCCUGCUGCCACUCCUGAACCACUGAACGCGCUCACUGAGUGGCCGCCCCACUGUCUGUGCAAACAUCUACAAACGAGCAAACCCCGCUGUGCGAGUGGGACUUGACAGCUCUCGUCACCAAACGGCGUUCCUGCGUGCAGACAGCGUGCCCUUCUGCUUUUAUUAAUCGUCAACGAAGAGCUUAUCGCCUUGCAGAGAGGCGACAAUUAGCUGCCGGUUUGGUGCUGAGCGGUUCCUCGCAGGUCACGUCAGGACAGGACGAAGCUCAAGCAGCAACGCUGGCAGCGCUAGGCUGCAACAACACAGGCGCUGGGCAGGAGGCUCAGCACAGCAUCACCUCUAAUUGCCACAAAUGGAAAACCGCAGCUGAUGAGCUCCUGGUUCCACCAGCCCCAUGCUAGCACGACCUCGCUCCACUGGAAACAGGUUUUCAGUGGGAGCUGGAUUAAGCUUUAUUUGCUUAAUAAACUAAUAACUCGUAGGAGGAAUAAUGACAGAAUAGGGCCCCGCAUGAGCUCAGUGCACACAUGCCCUCCUGACCCAUAACAGCCAAAACCUUAAUUUCACUCUCUGACAACAAAGCCUCAAAACUAUUCCUUAAAUACACAACUUUUGCAGGUGGCUGUGUGUCUGGGGCUGCUGGAGGAGUCUCGGUGUUUCUCUGCCUGUGAGCAGCACGCCGUGCUGGGGGGGGCACAGGCAGUAAAACCUGAAACAUGAGGCUGUGCCUGCAGAUUGCAAAAGUUUGUAAACCUUGUAAGAUGCGAUCAGAUCUGGUGGAACCUACAGCAGCAGGUUCACUCGCCUCCAAUUGUAUCACUGACACCGUGCACACAGUUAUUCUACUGUUAUUUCUCCCACUGCAGUGGCAUAUACUUGAGUAUGUGGGAGAAGAGCACACACAAAAACAGACCACCAAAACCCUCCUAUUUCAGCUCAUGCAGCAAACCAAAACCUCAGCAAGCUCAUCGUGAGCCACGUGCAGCUUUCCCUAGGUAAAACAAUGGGAAUCUUCCAGGAGACCUGGAAGCUCAACUCACUUUUACAACGGUAUGUGGCCACAUCACUGUCACAGGUCUGCAAGCAAUAAGCAAGACAGAAACAACUCCAGGAGGUCUAACUCAAAGUGCAAUGAACACUUCCCUAAAUGAACAAACAAACAAAAAAAUUUAAAAAUCUAAAGAAAAGAAAGAAAGGAAGAAAUAAUAAAAAAAAAAAUUGCAGCUUAAAGGUGACCGUGAUCCCGGCUUAAAAAUGUGCUUGGAACUUGUCACAGUCCCUGACGCACCGUUGCUAUACUUAAUGUAUUUUCAACCACACUUUCAUUAACAUAUAUAUUUAAAAAUAAUGCUUCUGCUGGGAUGACAGCACUGCCAGAAAGUCUACCACGGCUAAUCGUUCUGAAGUCAUUAAAAAGUUGAACUAAUAGAUAUUUAAUGAGAGAUAACAGAGGGGACUCGUCCAAGUUAGGAGAAACUGCUACUGACUCCUGACUUUGAGCUGGAAAAACACAUUCCAACCAAAUAAUAGUGACAAGACUUUGCAGCUCUGCACACACUGCAGUCUCUUUGGGGAAAAGGAAAAAAUGAGUGUGCUGUUUGUGGAAUUUUAUUAUUCAUCUACAUCUUGAAUUACAUGCCAUCAGGUUAGAUGGGGUAUGGCAGCAGAUAAUAGGAAGACAGCAAAGAGAAAUCCUAGAUCGACUUUGUUUGAAAUAAAAAAAAUUCUAAAAAAAAUGCAGCUUUUAAACCCUACUCCACCUCCAAUCAAAUGAAAUACGAGUUGCAUCCCGCGUGCAUGUUUUGACUGCAUCCCACCAUUAUCGAGCUGUUCAUCUCAGCAAAGCCCAUUUCUACAGCCCUAUGAAAGAGCCCAGGCCUUUUGUAAAGCUGAUCCCAAGUGAUGAAACUUAACCUCCAACACGAAUCGGGGGGCGGGGUGGUAUGCCUCUGAAAAAAGUCUGCUGGAGAAAACAACAAAAAAAUGUUUUUCUUUCACUCUUUUUGUGAAAUGCAGGAGGUGCAGCUUAGCAGAGCGACUAGAUUACACAUCGGGCUGAGCUGCACCGAAAUCCUGCCUCGAGCAGUCUGGGAAUCAUACCUGCCUGUCACUCAGGCUUGAAUUUAGUAGCAUAAACUUGCGGCCAGCGCGAGGCUGAGUGCUGGCAGGAUCUCGUACCUUUUCAGGUACGGCACAAUGUUUGCUUGUGAAUUUUACAGAUGAGUUGAAGCAAUUAGAGGAGAACAAUUACUGCUGAUCAAGUGUCUGUGCCUCGGGAGCGCAGGAGGGCUCCUGCGGAGGGGAUGCUCCUGGUGCUGCGCGGGGUGCCGAGGUGCUGCCCCAGGGACGUGGGGACAAGGGGACACGGGCUGCACCCCGGCUUGGCCCACACCCUGCACUUCUCAGGCUGCAUCGCUUCUGCGAUGCUCCAGCUCAAGCUGCAGGCACCGCGCUCGCCCUCUGCUUUACCUUGCUGUUCUCCUUCCUUUUUAGGAGCUACAGGAGCAGACUGACACAGCGCAACGCACUGACUUGCAUUUGUCACUCCUUCUAUGUGGCCGCGUCUGGCCAUGUAACGUCCAUUUCCCAGUUUGCCUCCCCAUUAUAUUUUAUAUUACCUCUCGUGAGCUCGUGCCAGAGGAAAGCAGAAGGAGGAGCUGUUAGAAAGGCUUUUUUUGGUUUGAGAUUCGAGAGCACAUUUUUAGCAUUAACUUUUUAGGUUCUGGUCAUAAAACGCUGCAGUAUGUGUACAGUAUUGUGGGUGAAUUUGCCGCGUUUCCAGAGGGCCAAAUGGGCAACAACCUCUUGCUGACAGCGUGCAGCUCACGGCGAGCGACUGGAAAGACGACCCAUUUUUAAUUUCCAAACCUCAGCAACAACGAGCCAUAAAAACGCAGAAUUAUGAACGGCACGAUACCGUGCGAAAUAAAUAACAAGCCUCCAGUGAAUGAAAGAAAUCAUUGGCAGCGGUACAGCCACCAUUACCAAAUCUCAGCAAUGUAAACACUAAAAAAAGAGAAAGUUACAAGCGCCAUAACUCUCAUUCCAAAAGCGUCCCAGGGCCGGUGCGUGGCUGCGGCUCCGGGCAGAUGCUGCUGUUCCAGCCCAGCGCAUAUUUCCCAUCGCAGAGCACCGCCACCGACGCAAACGCCCUAAACCAGCUGCUAUAUAAAAAAUAAAUGAUAUCUCGGCCGGCCGGGUCGUUCCGUGCUAACACGUGCUCCGGGCUGAAUGUUCAGAGUCGAAAAUUAAAAAAAUCCUCUGUCACAGUUUGUGCAGAAGUUAAUGGAGAGCGGCUUCCAUCAGCGAGCUGGUAGGGGCUGAGCGCACCGCGCUGUGGGCUGGAAGGAGCAGGCUGCCUCACAUCCAUUUCCUUCACGUAAGGCAUUUGAUUGGGAAGAGGGAUUUCGAAGGGAAGCUUCGUGCCUGGUUGUGAUUCUUCUUUCAAUACUGUCAGGGCAAUUAAGGCAGCUCGAGGUAAUCUUUAACGUUCACCUGAUGCGGUUAAUUAAGCGGUGAAAAACGCAACGCCGAUGAAAGGCAUCGAACGCCGUGUCGCAGGUAUCCACGUUUGAACGCGCAACGAGGAUACCCCGUCAGUCAGCGCUUUGCUGUUUUAUGUAUUUCACUUUCCUACAGCACAGCUUCCUUAACCUGACUUCACCCACGAAAAUAUUUCAUAGCGGCGCGCAUUAUCCGCAGACCAAAGCAAAGCCUCGUUUAGGGAACACCUAAUAACUCAUCAGCAUAAUUGAAAACAAAAUGCUUCGCCGCGUCCUCCCUCCCUGCCCCAGUCUCUCCAACACACAGGAGAAGUAACACUUCAGCCUAACAAAGAGUGGAUUUAAGCGCGCCGAACAAAAAGAAACAGCAAACCACCCGAGAUCCUGGUUCAGCACAGAAGCAGGAUUCGCUCUAGCAAAGUGUUCGGGGAAGGCAGAGUAAUAUUUGUGCACGUGGGCAUUGAGAGGCAGAGCCCCACGCGUGCAGCCGCACGGGUGGGAUUAGCAGCUCUGCAUCUUCACCUCCACUCUUGCCAUUAAUUGCACACUGAAGUUUCUGCUCAGUGCAACAGUUUCAUAGAGCAAUGGAGCUGGAGUGGAACGGGAACCAGAAAACGCUUCUAAGCCCAAAUCAGCAAAUAUCGGCUCUGCAUUCCUAAGAAAGCAGUCCCCGUUUUUAUCAGGUACGAGAUCAGAAAAAAAAAAAAAAAAAAAAAGAAAGAUGUUGAAAA
Molecule: long non-coding RNA, 7629 nt
Organism: Numida meleagris (helmeted guineafowl)
Lineage: Eukaryota; Metazoa; Chordata; Aves; Galliformes; Numididae
Exons: 2
Source: RefSeq, a predicted model, not a curated record